GAUGAACGCUAGCGGCAGGCCUAACACAUGCAAGUCGAGGGGGAGGUUACUUUCGGGUAACUGAGACCGGCGUACGGGUGCGUAACGCGUAUACAAUCUGCCUUUCACUGGGGGAUAGCCCGAAGAAAUUUGGAUUAAUACCCCAUAGUAUAGGAGCACGGCAUCGUGAUACUAUUAAAGCUUAGGUGGUGAAAGAUGAGUAUGCGUUCUAUUAGCUAGUUGGAGAGGUAACGGCUCCCCAAGGCGAUGAUAGAUAGGGGUUCUGAGAGGGAUGUCCCCCACACUGGUACUGAGAUACGGACCAGACUCCUACGGGAGGCAGCAGUGAGGAAUAUUGGACAAUGGUCGGAAGACUGAUCCAGCCAUGCCGCGUGCAGGAUGACGGCCUUAUGGGUUGUAAACUGCUUUUGUAAGGGAAGAAUAAGGAGUACGUGUACUUUGAUGACGGUACCUUACGAAUAAGCAUCGGCUA
This 472-nucleotide ribosomal RNA is filed under the name Capnocytophaga sp. oral taxon 380. RNAcentral describes it as "bacterial SSU rRNA". It matches the Rfam family "Bacterial small subunit ribosomal RNA", at positions 28 to 499 of the family's 1533-position model. Lineage: Bacteria; Pseudomonadati; Bacteroidota; Flavobacteriia; Flavobacteriales; Flavobacteriaceae. The record is from RNAcentral.